RNAcentral lists this ribosomal RNA (443 nucleotides) under uncultured bacterium. Its description in RNAcentral is "partial 16S ribosomal RNA". It matches the Rfam family "Bacterial small subunit ribosomal RNA", at positions 338 to 795 of the family's 1533-position model. The record is from RNAcentral.
CCUACGGGAGGCAGCAGUGGGGAAUAUUGGGCAAUGGGCGCAAGCCUGACCCAGCAACGCCGCGUGAAGGAAGAAGGCUUUCGGGUUGUAAACUUCUUUUCUCAGGGACGAAAAAAGUGACGGUACCUGAGCAAUAAGCCACGGCUAACUACGCGCCAGCAGCCGCGGUAAUACGUAGGUCGCAAGCGUUAUCCGGAUUUACGGGGUGUAAAGGGCGUGUAGGCGGGAAGGCAAGUCAGAUGUGAAAAGCAUGGGCUCAACCUGGGGCCGGCAUUUGAAACUGUUUAUCUAGAGUACUGGAGAGGCAGACGGAAUUCCUGGUGUAGCGGUGAAAUGCGUAGAUAUGAGGAGGAACACCAGUGGCGAAGGCGGUCUGCUGGACAGCAACUGACGCUGAGGCGCGAAAGCGUGGGGAGCAAACAGGAUUAGAUACCCGUGUAGUC